GUNUUUUUGAGUUAUUUUUAAAGUNUGNCCUGCCCANUGAUUUUUUAAAUGGCCGCAGUAUUUUAACUGUGCAAAGGUAGCAUAAUCAUUAGUCUUUUAAUUGAAGGCUGGUAUGAAUGGUUGGACGAAGUAUAAGCUGUUUCAUGUAUAUUUAUAUUAGAAUUUUAUUUUUUAGUUAAAAAGCUAAAAUAAAGUUAAAAGACGAGAAGACCCUAUAAAUCUUUAUAUUUUUUGUAAUUUAAAUUUAUUGAAUUUUAUAUAUUUUUAAUGCAGUGAAGUAUUUUGUUGGGGUGAUAUUAAAAUUUAAUAAACUUUUAAUUGUGUUUAAUCAUUAAUUUAUGAAUUGUUGAUCCAUUAAUAAUGAUUAUAAGAUUA
This 375-nucleotide ribosomal RNA is filed under the name Dacus tenebricus. Its description in RNAcentral is "partial 16S ribosomal RNA". The record is from RNAcentral. Lineage: Eukaryota; Metazoa; Arthropoda; Insecta; Diptera; Tephritidae.